AGGACGAACGCUGGCGGCGUGCUUAACACAUGCAAGUCGAGCGGAAAGGCCCUUCGGGGUACUCGAGCGGCGAACGGGUGAGUAACACGUGAGUAAUCUGCCCCUAGCUCUGGGAUAGCUCCGGGAAACCGGGGAUUAAUACUGGAUACGACCACCUUAGACAUCUUUUGUGGUGGAAAGAAUUUCGGCUAGGGAUGAGCUCGCGGCCUAUCAGCUUGUUGGUGGGGUAACGGCCUACCAAGGCGACGACGGGUA
RNAcentral lists this ribosomal RNA (255 nucleotides) under uncultured bacterium. RNAcentral's name for it is "partial small subunit ribosomal RNA". It matches the Rfam family "Bacterial small subunit ribosomal RNA", at positions 26 to 285 of the family's 1533-position model. The record is from RNAcentral.